Molecule: ribosomal RNA, 488 nt
Filed under: uncultured bacterium
Lineage: Bacteria
Description: bacterial SSU rRNA
Rfam family: Bacterial small subunit ribosomal RNA
Source: RNAcentral
GAUGAACGCUAGCGGGAGGCUUAACACAGUGCAAGUCGAGGGGCAGCAUAGGGUAGCAAUACUCUGAUGGCGACCGGCAAACGGGUGAGUAACGCGUAUGCAACCUACCCUGUACAGGGGGAUAACCCGGAGAAAUUCGGACUAAUAUCCCGUAAUAAUAUCCGGAGGCAUCUUUGGAUAUUUAAAGUUCCGACGGUACGGGAUGGGCAUGCGUAACAUUAGCUGGUUGGUAAGGUAACGGCUUACCAAGGCUAUGAUGUUUAGGGGUCCUGAGAGGGUGGUCCCCCACACUGGUACUGAGACACGGACCAGACUCCUACGGGAGGCAGCAGUGAGGAAUAUUGGUCAAUGGGCGCAAGCCUGAACCAGCCAUCCCGCGUGCAGGAAGACGGCCCUAUGGGUUGUAAACUGCUUUUCCAGGGAGAGAAACUUACGCACGUGUUGCGUGACUGACGGUACCCUGGGAAUAAGCAUCGGCUAACUCCGUG